This 550-nucleotide long non-coding RNA is filed under the name Citrus x clementina. Its description in RNAcentral is "Citrus clementina (C. clementina) long non-coding RNA (CCLE_LNC003727)". The record is from RNAcentral. Lineage: Eukaryota; Viridiplantae; Streptophyta; Magnoliopsida; Sapindales; Rutaceae.
GAAACUUUGCGGCUGGCCCCCGUGUCCCAAAAAUAGGCCGCGGGCACAGCCGCGCCCAAAAAUAACAGCCUGAAGGCCGGGGCGUCAAGUUCUUCCAGCGGAAAAAGGCCACAAAAAUUGGUUGGCUAUAGCCUGGGGGGGUGGGGCUGGCCCACUUCGUCCGCCGGACUUGGAAUGGCAUGAGACUUUGCGAGCGGCCUCCGUGUGCCAAAAAUAGGCGGCGGGCACAGCCGCGCCCAAAAGUAACCGCCCGAAGGCCGGGGCGCCAUGUUCGUCCAGCGGAAAAGUGCCACAAAAACGGGUGGGCUAUAGCCUUGGGGGGUGGGGCUGGCCAAUUUCGUCCGCCGGACUCGGAAUGGUGUGAGACCUUGUGAGCGGCCUCCGUGUGCCAAAAAUAGGCCACGGGCACAGCCGUUCCCAAAAAUAACCGCCCGAAGGCCGGGGCGCCAAGUUCGUCCAGCGGAAAAAGCCCUCAAAAACGGGUGGGCUAUAGCCUUGGGGGGUGGGGCUGGCCAACUCCGUCCGCCGGACUCGGAAUGGCGCGAGACUU